This 49-nucleotide ribosomal RNA is filed under the name uncultured Basidiomycota. RNAcentral's name for it is "partial 5.8S ribosomal RNA". It matches the Rfam family "5.8S ribosomal RNA", at positions 1 to 49 of the family's 154-position model. From Rfam's summary of the family: 5.8S ribosomal RNA (5.8S rRNA) is a component of the large subunit of the eukaryotic ribosome. It is transcribed by RNA polymerase I as part of the 45S precursor that also contains 18S and 28S rRNA. Functionally, it is thought that 5.8S rRNA may be involved in ribosome translocation. Lineage: Eukaryota; Fungi; Basidiomycota. The record is from RNAcentral.
AACUCUUAACAACGGAUCUCUUGGCUCUCGCAUCGAUGAAGAACGCAGC